RNAcentral lists this long non-coding RNA (971 nucleotides) under Panax ginseng (ginseng). RNAcentral's name for it is "long non-coding RNA (PGIN_LNC010213)". Lineage: Eukaryota; Viridiplantae; Streptophyta; Magnoliopsida; Apiales; Araliaceae. The record is from RNAcentral.
UGGCAAUACGUGACAGGAGAGAGAAGCUGAGCUAGAUAACUAUUAAAUUAAAUUAUACUCUUUCUUAUUAUUAUUAUUAUUAUUAUUAUUCUCUUUCUUCUUAUUCUGAUUAUUCUCUUCUUCUUCUUCUUCGACGAACCAGACUUCUCCCAACUCGUUGGCGACUUUUGAUUCUCGACGACGAUGACGAUUCUCCCUCUGGCUGAUGUCCGAAAUUGACCGGUGCUGGUGAAAUCUCUCUCUCUCGACGACGACGACGACCUGUUCUCACGGCUGCCGGUGAAAUCUCUGCUUCAAUUAAGAUCUAUCUGCAAGCUCUGGCUGUCACAAAUUUCAAGCCCUAAUUUCAUCAAAACCCACCUCAAUCGCACCGUUAACCACAAAACUCCCCCAUCACUCAUCGUUCACAGGUGGGGCACGAACUCCAGCGGCGAAGUUAUUUCUCUGAUCCACCUCGAUUCUAUCGAAAAUCCGAUCGAUCUCAAUCCACCAACUUUACCUAAAUUACCAACAGCAAGAAUAAGAACGCUGUAAUGGGUUAUUCUUAUAUUUUCAUUUUCGAUCUGGUGAUGCUGGGUUUGUGCUGUGAUUCUGUUUUGAAUUAGUUUAAUUUUGUUUGGUCUAAUCAAUUUUCUGAUUUUCGUGGCUGCCUAUUAUUAUGUGUGGAAUCACUUUGAUUUUUGCUAUGUUUCUGGUUGGCUCCUUGUUGAUGCUGGGGAGUCUUUGCCGGAGGAAGGUAGCUGUCGGAUUGUCACCGGAUUAAUAAUAAAAUAUAUUAAUUAAAUUAAAUUAAUUAGUAACAAAAUAUAUUAAUUAAAUUAAUUAGUAAUAAAUAUAUUAAUUAAAUUAAAUAAUAAUAAAAUAUAUUAAUAUAUAAUUUUUAUAAAUGUAUUUAUAUAAAAUUAAUGUGGUGGUGGAAAUAAGGGUUUACCUUUGCAAUGAUUUUCCUGUGAAAAUAUAAUCAUUUUGGC